GGGGUUGUGGCUCAGUGGUAGAGUGCUUGCCUCGCAAGCAUGAGGUACUGGGUUCAAUCCUCAGCACCACA
RNAcentral lists this transfer RNA (71 nucleotides) under Marmota monax (woodchuck). RNAcentral describes it as "tRNA.Ala". It matches the Rfam family "tRNA". Rfam says of the family: Transfer RNA (tRNA) molecules are approximately 80 nucleotides in length. Their secondary structure includes four short double-helical elements and three loops (D, anti-codon, and T loops). Lineage: Eukaryota; Metazoa; Chordata; Mammalia; Rodentia; Sciuridae. The record is from RNAcentral.